AUUGAACGCUGGCGGCAGGCUUAACACAUGCAAGUCGAGCGAGCGGCGGACGGGUGAGUAAUGUCUGGGAAACUGCCUGAUGGAGGGGGAUAACUACUGGAAACGGUAGCUAAUACCGCAUACCAUCAGAUGUACCCAGAUGGGAUUAGCUAGUAGGCGGGGUAAUGGCUCACCUAGGCGAUGAUCCCUAGCUGGUCUGAGGGGCUGACCAGCAACACUGGAACGGGAACACGGUCCAGACUCCUACGUGAGGCAGCAUUGGGGAAUAUUGCACAAUGGGCGCAAGCCUGAUGCAGCCAUGCCGCGUGUGGGAAGAGGGCCUUCGGGUUGUAAAGCACUUUCAGCGAGGAGGCGUUACUCGCAGAAGAAGCACCGGCUAACUCCGUGCCAGCAGCCGCGGUAAUUC
RNAcentral lists this ribosomal RNA (406 nucleotides) under uncultured bacterium. Its description in RNAcentral is "partial 16S ribosomal RNA". It matches the Rfam family "Bacterial small subunit ribosomal RNA", at positions 30 to 526 of the family's 1533-position model. The record is from RNAcentral.